AUGGCAGCAGCACAUUUGGCCAUGAGUGGUGUCACAACUGCCAAAGGCUCAUUCAUGAUUUUGACUCUGCUGUGUCUGGUCCAUUUUUCAAGUUCAGUGAUAAACAACGAUCAACUGGAGGAACUGAAAGCAAACAUUCAAAAACUCCAACAAGAAACAAUGAGAAAGAAGGCUGAAUAUAUUUUAGACAGAGCCUACCUUCCAGCUAUUCUUGAUGGUAUUGGACGCUACAUGGAUCCUUUGUCCAAAUUUCUGAAGUCAUUGAACGUUUCUACAUUGGUACUUACACCAAUACUGGAUUUAAUGGAUGACCUAAAGACUUUCCUGGAAGACAGCAAGAAAUACAUAAUUAAAUACUUUGAGACAAUAGCUGAAGAAAUCAAGGACAAUGAAGAUAAACUAAGCAGCGUGAUGGCAAUAUUAACACAUCUAGAAAAGCAUAAAGAAGAACUGUAAGAUAUUAGUCAGUGUCAGUCUCAAGUAUUAAAUGUUCUGUAUUUCUAAAACUUUCAUACUGUGCAGGUUUUGAGUCAAGAAAUAACUUUGUCAUAUUUUCUUUUCAUUUUCUUUGUUUCAAGUGAGUUUAAAUGCAAACACAAGACACAGAACUGAGGUUGUGUCUAAGUAACCAUAUUAACACUGGCAAUUGUUAAUGAUUUAAAUGAUGAACGCCUUUUAAUGUGAAUAAAGACACGUUAUUAUUUUCAUGUUUUUUCAAAUUGUGAUGUUCGUGAGAAAAUACAGAAGCUGUGGCUGAUUGUUCUCAGAACACCCAUCACCUGAUCCUCUCAUGUAGGCCAUGUGUGUGUGUGUGUGUGUGUGUGUGUGUGUGUGUGUGUGUGUACUGUUAUUCCACACUACUGACUAGAUGUUUUAUACUGGUGUUAAAGAGAGAGUUUAGUGCUACACUAAAUCACAUUGUAGACCACAACAAAACAACAGAUCUUAUUUGACUUGUAAAUCAUCAGUGACACCCUGGAAAAGAGAAUGAGCAAAAUUCACGAACAAAUAUGUAAUAAUACAUAACGUUUUAUAUGAUCAUAAUAGUUAUUAUUGUUUUGUAGGCUGUUUUGUUGUUUUUGAUUUAGAAAUUAAUAAUUUUACUACUAUAAAAACUCAUCAUCUAAGUAGACAAACUAUGUACUAAUGUACAUACAUUAUUUACUAAAACUAAAAUGUUAUAAAACUUAAUGUUUGCAAGCUGCUGAAAAUGGGAGACCAAUAACUAAUGGGUCUCUAUUCCUAUAAAGUGGACCAGAAAAAGGUUAGUUCAGUCAAAAUGAAAGUAAAAUUGCAGCUAAUGCACGUGAGAUGAAAGAAAGUGAAAGGACAACAGAGUAUAGGGAACCUUUCAAACACACCACCUCAUUGUGUUUUCAUUCUUUACCAGCACAGCACAUCAGAUCGUCCUCCAUUCACAAACCAGGUAAGAUCAGUAACAUAAAAUAUGAUGUUUGCAAAGUGUAACAUUAAAAUUUGUUGCCGCGUGUGUGUCAGUUUCUUAUUAAUGUUACUGACAUGGUAUCUUAACCUAAUGGA
Molecule: long non-coding RNA, 1539 nt
Filed under: Oreochromis niloticus (Nile tilapia)
Lineage: Eukaryota; Metazoa; Chordata; Actinopteri; Cichliformes; Cichlidae
Description: lncRNA (ENSONIG00000032485.1)
Source: RNAcentral